GGAAGUAAAAGUCGUAACAAAGUUUCCGUAGGUGAACCUGCGGAAGGAUCAUUAAUGAGUUGUCAUGGGGUUCGAUGCCGGCAGCCAAUUUUUGGAUGCAUGUGCUUGCCCUAACAAUCAUCUUCCAAACACCUGUGCACAUUUUUGUGGGAGUCUUGAGUUGGUUGCCGCUCUUGGGUGAUUUUCUCACAUUCCCUUAAAUCAUUAUACGCUAUUAACAAUGUUGAACGUGCUCUGCGCCGCAAGGCUAUUAGUAUAAUACAACUUUUAACAACGGAUCUCUUGGCUCUC
This 291-nucleotide unclassified non-coding RNA is filed under the name plant metagenome. Its description in RNAcentral is "partial contains small subunit ribosomal RNA, internal transcribed spacer 1, and 5.8S ribosomal RNA". The stretch from base 1 to 54 matches the Rfam family "Eukaryotic small subunit ribosomal RNA", at positions 1778 to 1831 of the family's 1831-position model. The record is from RNAcentral.